This 357-nucleotide transfer-messenger RNA is filed under the name Spirochaetota bacterium. Its description in RNAcentral is "Spirochaetes bacterium (sediment metagenome) transfer-messenger RNA". It matches the Rfam family "transfer-messenger RNA". Rfam says of the family: Bacterial tmRNA, also known as 10Sa RNA or SsrA, is named for its dual tRNA and mRNA-like properties. Its role is to liberate the mRNA from a stalled ribosome. Lineage: Bacteria; Pseudomonadati; Spirochaetota. RNAcentral also lists the same sequence under 1 other name. The record is from RNAcentral.
GGGGGUGCACAGGUUUCGACCCGUGCGGACCGUGGUGUGCGCUGCAGGUAGAGUGGCUACUCUCUUCAAAGUGGCAACCCUUUCAAGUGCCAACAACAACGGCGCUCUCGCUCUUGCUGCGUAAGUAGCGGGCGACGGACACUAUGGCGGGAUGUCUCCGACGCCAUGGAGGUCUGUGACAUUCGGGGGCUUACCGGUGCUGCGGUCCGGAGCAGCAUCGGGACAUCAAUCCGGAAUACGGAGCCAGAUGCGCGCCAUUCCGCACGCUGGUUCCCGACAAUACAAUGAAUGGCUAAACCUGUAGAUGCGUGCAUUGCGCGCCCGGGGACGGGGGUUCGAUUCCCCCCACCUCCAUGU